GCUUUCGGCCAUACCACCCUGAGCACUCCCGCUCUCGUCUGAUCUCGUAAGCUAAGCAGGGUUGGGCUUGGUUAGUACUUGGAUGGGAGACUAGCUGGGAAUACCAGGUGCUGUAAAAU
Molecule: ribosomal RNA, 119 nt
Organism: Oreochromis aureus
Lineage: Eukaryota; Metazoa; Chordata; Actinopteri; Cichliformes; Cichlidae
Source: Ensembl